RNAcentral lists this ribosomal RNA (467 nucleotides) under uncultured bacterium. Its description in RNAcentral is "partial 16S ribosomal RNA". It matches the Rfam family "Bacterial small subunit ribosomal RNA", at positions 28 to 507 of the family's 1533-position model. The record is from RNAcentral.
GAUGAACGCUGACAGAAUGCUUAACACAUGCAAGUCAACUUGAAUUUGGGUUUUUAACUUCGGUUUGGGUGGCGGACGGGUGAGUAACGCGUAAAGAACUUGCCUCACAGCUAGGGACAACAUUUGGAAACGAAUGCUAAUACCUAAUAUUAUGAUAAUAGGGCAUCCUAUAAUUAUGAAAGCUAUAAGCGCUGUGAGAGAGCUUUGCGUCCCAUUAGCUAGUUGGAGAGGUAACGGCUCACUAAGGCGAUGAUGGGUAGCCGGCCUGAGAGGGUGAUCGGCCACAAGGGGACUGAGACACGGCCCUUACUCCUACGGGAGGCAGCAGUGGGGAAUAUUGGACAAUGGACCAAGAGUCUGAUCCAGCAAUUCUGUGUGCACGAUGAAGUUUUUCGGAAUGUAAAGUGCUUUCAGUUGGGAAGAAAGAAAUGACGGUACCAACAGAAGAAGAGACGGCUAAAUACGUG